CACGCCCUAAACGAUGUCAACUAGUUGUUGGGGAUUCAUUUCCUUAGUAACGUAGCUAACGCGUGAAGUUGACCGCCUGGGGAGUNACGCGAAAAACCUUACCUACCCUUGACAUGGUCGGAACCCUGCUGAAAGGUGGGGGUGCUCGAAAGAGAACCGAUACACAGGUGC
Molecule: ribosomal RNA, 171 nt
Filed under: uncultured bacterium
Lineage: Bacteria
Description: partial 16S ribosomal RNA
Source: RNAcentral